CCUACGGGGGGCUGCAGUGGGGAAUAUUGGGCAAUGGGCGCAAGCCUGACCCAGCAACGCCGCGUGAAGGAAGAAGGCUUUCGGGUUGUAAACUUCUUUUAUCAGGGACGAAGCAAGUGACGGUACCUGAUGAAUAAGCCACGGCUAACUACGUGCCAGCAGCCGCGGUAAUACGUAGGUGGCAAGCGUUAUCCGGAUUUACUGGGUGUAAAGGGCGUGUAGGCGGGAGUGCAAGUCAGAUGUGAAAACUAUGGGCUCAACCCAUAGCCUGCAUUUGGAACUACCGGGCUGGAGUGCCGGAGAGGUAGGCGGAAUUCCUAGUGUAGCGGUGAAAUGCGUAGAUAUCAGGAGGAACACCGGUGGCGAAGGCGGCCUGCUGGACUGCAACUGACGUUGAGGCCCGAAAGCGUGGGGAGCAAACAGGAUUAGAUACCCCAGUAGUC
RNAcentral lists this ribosomal RNA (443 nucleotides) under uncultured bacterium. RNAcentral's name for it is "partial 16S ribosomal RNA". It matches the Rfam family "Bacterial small subunit ribosomal RNA", at positions 338 to 795 of the family's 1533-position model. The record is from RNAcentral.